UUUUUUUUUUUUUCCUCAUAUCAAGUUGCACCUGGUGGUGGCGGCGGAGCUUGGAUUUGCUGCUGUGGUGGACGCUUACGCUUCUUUUUCUCGUAGCUAAUCCCUCUCGCUUUGGACUGCAAAUCACGAACCUCGCGAAGGUAAAGCCUUACUGCACGAGCUCCAAAAGGGUUUGCUUCAGGUUUGCCUCCAUUUUCCUCGAAGGCUGCCCGGAGGCGCCCGAUAAGAGCGUCGAGACUCCCCCAGGCCUGGCGAAGAGGGCAAGGGCAGGGAGCUGGUGGAUUCGGGUGACCAUAAAAGGGGCAGAUUGGAGUGUGCACCUUGGUCUUGCCAAAUUGGUCGAGAUAGCGAAGGAAUUCAAGGACAUGAGCUCCACUGCACCUGGAGAGAGAGAGGGGAGGCCUAUGGUUCUUGAGAUAUUGACCAAAGGUGUUCCAGUCUCGGCGCUUUUGGUUCUCAUAGCGGCUAGGAGUGGUGGAUGAUGAUGGUGAUGAUGAAGUUGCCGCCGAGAUAGUAGUGGUUGUCGUGGUGGUCAUGGUGGCAGUGCUUAUGUUGUUGAAGCUGGUGUUUUCAGAGUUGGAGCUGUUCAUUUCAGGGAUUGACUCCAUGAUUUUGUGGCUGUUUCGUUUCUCAGAUGGAUCUUAUAUAAAUUGAUAUGCUGUUUAUGAUUGUGUGUUCUCUGUUCUCUCCUUUAUUCCUCCUGAAAACAGGUACUUCUUCUAGGGUUACUUCUGCACUCUCUGAACUAAUAACGGGAAAGCCUCAGGAAAGAGUGGUGGAUGAUCUUAUAAUUUUUGCAGAACUUAGGACUGUUGAUGAAAACAAGCAGCAAAGAGAAGACUAAAAUGUAAAUGGAUAGGAAAAAAAGAAAGUUUAUGAUAGACUAUUGAUUGAUAUUACAGAGAAUUUCCAUUUUUUGUGGAGAGACAGAGAGACUUGGAGAGAGAGAAAAGGGGGGAUUAAAUAGAGCAGCAAAUUAGGGAAGAUUUAUGUGUGUUGGAUAUAUUAUUGUUAAGAAGAAGAAGAAGGGAAAGGGGUGGAAUGAUGAUGAUGAGACUGAUGGGAGAGGAAGAGUUCGCAAUCUUGGAGUUUCUUUGUUUGAGCAAUACUAACAAAAACCUGAGACUCUAGGUGGAUUUUUGCCAUCCUUUCUUUGUUUUCU
Molecule: unclassified non-coding RNA, 1162 nt
Filed under: Hevea brasiliensis (rubber tree)
Lineage: Eukaryota; Viridiplantae; Streptophyta; Magnoliopsida; Malpighiales; Euphorbiaceae
Source: RNAcentral